CACCCCCGGCCUCCCCUGCGUGCGGAGAAUACCGCCGGCAGCACACGCGCGCACUGCCGCGCCUCUCCGCUCUUUCGGCCGCAGAGCUGGAACCAACGACAGCAAAUGCUGACGGAGAGAGAAGCCGGACGAGCGGCAUGUAGGGGAUUAAUACCUAAGGGACGGGGUUGAAACGAGGAGGCAGAAACGCAGCGGACCCUCGGUAUCCCCGGCAGCUGCCACGGUAGCGGCAGGUGUUCCGCCACGGGCAAGUCAAGCAGGGAACGACGACGGGCUGUCGUGAAGAACUACAGGCUGCCGCCCUCCGACCUCGGCAGGUGAUGCGACGAGAGCAGCCGGGAGAAUCCGAAUGCCGGUUUUGGCAGGUUCUCUGCCUGGUGCUGACGAGGAGCCUUUGACAGCAGGAAGGUUGGCAGCGUCCGUACCUGAACCGUGGAGUACACACCUGCUUCUAGUCUCAGUUGAAGGACGGGUCGCCUAGCUCAGCGUCUAACAAACCCCACAACCGGCGGCCCGGUCGCUAUGGCGCUGCUGUUGCUAGCAGAGCCACCAGGUCUGUGUGAAGCCUUAGGUGCCUGCUUGGAGCAGUAUUUUGGUCUGCUCACCUGGAAGAAGCAGCGAGGCCUAAAAUAAGACUUUGUUGCGGCUACAUGGAGCUGAGUGCCCUCCCUGAAGGCAAAAGCGGAAGGGGUAGGUCGUCGGCUACUCGGACACCUGCCGCAUCAAGGGCGGCAGCGGGAGCUGACCCCUCCCCGACGGACGGACGAACUCUUCGGGUGUCACAAGGCGUUCGUAACGUCGGGGAACGACUGCACGCUGCCGUGAAGAAUUACAGGCUACCGCCCUCGGACCUCUGCAAGUUAUCGCGUGUCAGGAGCAGCCAGGAGGAUCCAGGUGCCAGCGGAAGGGUUCUCCUCCCGGUCCCGACAAGGAGCCUUCGGCCGUAGGAAGGUUGGCCGCGUCCUUACCUGUGCUGAGCGUAGUCUGGCCGUCGAAAGAACGUUGUCGUCGCUGGGAGCUCUCCGCAGAGAUCUGCGUCUGGCCGCCGAAGACGAGCGGAAGGCGAGCCCAGGCUUGCGACGUGGACGCAGCUAAGUCCCGGGGCUGCGUUGCGUGUGAGCAGGGCUGGGACGUGGCAGUGGUUUUGCCCUUGGCGGUUACGGGCAUCACUGGCCGUGGAUGGUUGCCCGCGGAGCCGAGAGGAGCAAAACUAUCAACGGUCUGUGGGGGAGACGAAUUAGCGCUCGCGGCGUUUCAGGUGCGUUCAGUGGUGGCGCAGCCUGGCGCGAUCCAGCGGCACGAUUUGUGCACGUGCUUAUGCUUUAGCGGCGGCUAAGCCCAAGCCUCUAAACAGCAACUGUAACAGGAUUGUGGUGCACGUCUUCCUGUUCUGCUGCCCUUCUAAAUGAAGGGGAAAGUUCCUAAGCUGUGGGCAAAACUCUUUGGCCGCUUCUUACUGUUCUCAUGCUCGUGGGUGCUGUGGCGUUCCUUGCUUAAAGCUAAGGGUUUGCACUUUUUCACUCGAGGUUUAUGUAGUUUGUUGCUGAGGGUCUCUCAUGCUGCGGUUGUGGUUUCUCGCUUUAUUUUGUGGGGCUCCGUCUUUAUCAGGCACAGUUCACAGGUCCCUCAUUUAGCGAUCAGGGUGCAGGAUUGAAAAUGCAACCUCAUCCCGAGACUUUACAGCCUCAGAAACCAUUUGGGUGCCAAGAUGUGCAGUUCGUCACUUCAGGUUCAGGGCUUAGGGCUUCCUGAUGAGGUAGAAAUCCGUAAAUAAUAAACUGUAAGCCCUGAAGCCCGAGCAGCGGGCUGCAAGCCCUCCUUCGGCGUUUGCCAUCUUCCCCUGUGCCAGCACUCUGCUCUGCGCGCUGAGCUGAGGCCUGGGUUCGAUACGGUGCAGGCCCACCACACGGACACUGGCGGCGAGCGAGCCGAGAGCCGUGCGAGCGUUCCGCGGGGCUCUGGUCUGGGGUAGAGCGGAAGCGCAGGCAGGCGAGCUCAGGCGUUGUCCUCUCCGAUUCUCAGAGCUGAAUCCUAUCCCCGAAGGAAAAAGCAGAAGGGGCAGGCCGUCGGCUACGCAGACGCCUGCCGCCUCGGGGGCUGCGGCGGGAGCUGACCCUUCCCCGACGGACGGACGGACGGUCGGACAGACGGACGCUGGCGUGGCGAUGACUCUUCAGGUGUCACGGGGUAAGGGGAAGCGUGCCGGCACCGAGCUCCGUGGCAAGCUCACUCCCAGGUGGCGUUUCUGCCCAGUAAAACAAUAAACAGCCGCUUUAUUCUU
Long non-coding RNA from Rhea pennata, 2281 nucleotides. RefSeq lists it as uncharacterized. The transcript is spliced from 7 exons. NCBI's taxonomy places the organism in Eukaryota, Metazoa, Chordata, Aves, Rheiformes, Rheidae. The record is from RefSeq and is a predicted model, not a curated record.